RNAcentral lists this ribosomal RNA (496 nucleotides) under uncultured bacterium. Its description in RNAcentral is "partial 16S ribosomal RNA". It matches the Rfam family "Bacterial small subunit ribosomal RNA", at positions 28 to 507 of the family's 1533-position model. The record is from RNAcentral.
GAUGAACGCUGGCGGCGUGCCUAAUACAUGCAAGUCGAGCGAACGGACGAGAAGCUUGCUUCUCUGAUGUUAGCGGCGGACGGGUGAGUAACACGUGGAUAACCUACCUAUAAGACUGGAUAACUUCGGGAAACCGUAGCUAAUACCGGAUAAUAUUUUGAACCGCAUGGUUCAAAAGUGAAAGACGGUCUUGCUGUCACUUAUAGAUGGAUCCGCGCUGCAUUAGCUAGUUGGUAAGGUAACGGCUUACCAAGGCAACGAUGCAUAGCCGACCUGAGAGGGUGAUCGGCCACACUGGAACUGAGACACGGUCCAGACUCCUACGGGAGGCAGCAGUAGGGAAUCUUCCGCAAUGGGCGAAAGCCUGACGGAGCAACGCCGCGUGAGUGAUGAAGGUCUUCGGAUCGUAAAACUCUGUUAUUAGGGAAGAACAUAUGUGUAAGUAACUGUGCACAUCUUGACGGUACCUAAUCAGAAAGCCACGGCUAACUACGUG